RNAcentral lists this ribosomal RNA (433 nucleotides) under uncultured bacterium. RNAcentral describes it as "partial 16S ribosomal RNA". It matches the Rfam family "Bacterial small subunit ribosomal RNA", at positions 29 to 507 of the family's 1533-position model. The record is from RNAcentral.
AACGAACGCUGGCGGCAUGCCUAACACAUGCAAGUCGAACGAAAACUCCGGGUCUUGUGGCGCACGGGUGCGUAACGCGUGGGAACUUGCCCUUAGGUUCGGAAUAACUCCCCGAAAGGGGUGCUAAUACCGGAUAAUGUCUUAGGACAAAAGAUUUAUCGCUUUUGGAUGGGCCCGCGUUGGAUUCGCUGGUUGGUAGGGUAAAAGCCUACCAAGGCGUCGAUCCAUAGCUGGUCUGAGAGGAUGAUCCGCCACACUGGGGCUGAGACACGGCCCAGACUCGUACGCAAGGGAGGAGAGGGUAAUAUAGGACAAGGGGGGAAGGCCUGAUCCAGCAAUGCCGGGUAAGUGAUGAUGGCCGUAGGGUAGUAAAGCUCUUUUAGCCGGGAUGAUAAUGACGGUACCGGGUGAAUAAGCACCGGCUAACUCCGUG